This 468-nucleotide ribosomal RNA is filed under the name uncultured Actinomycetes bacterium. RNAcentral describes it as "bacterial SSU rRNA". It matches the Rfam family "Bacterial small subunit ribosomal RNA", at positions 28 to 504 of the family's 1533-position model. The record is from RNAcentral. Lineage: Bacteria; Bacillati; Actinomycetota; Actinomycetes.
GACGAACGCUGGCGGCGUGCCUAAUGCAUGCAAGUCGAGCGACGCAUACUGGAGGGGUAACCCACCGGUAUGACGGAGCGGCGAACGGGUGAGUAACACGUGAGUAACCUACCCCGAAGACCGGGAUAACCCAGGGAAACCUGGGCUAAUACCGGAUACUCUCGGACCUUCGCAUGGAGGACCGAGGAAAGCUUUAGCGCUUCGGGAUGGGCUCGCGGCCUAUCAGCUAGUUGGUGGGGUAACGGCCCACCAAGGCUUUGACGGGUAGCUGGUCUGAGAGGACGAUCAGCCACACUGGGACUGAGACACGGCCCAGACUCCUACGGGAGGCAGCAGCAGGGAAUCUUGCGCAAUGGGCGAAAGCCUGACGCAGCAACGCCGCGUGGGGGAUGAAGGCCUUCGGGUUGUAAACCCCUUUCAGGAGGGAAGAAAAUGACGGUACCUCCAGAAGAAGCCCCGGCCAACUAC